Molecule: long non-coding RNA, 291 nt
Filed under: Gossypium barbadense (sea-island cotton)
Lineage: Eukaryota; Viridiplantae; Streptophyta; Magnoliopsida; Malvales; Malvaceae
Description: long non-coding RNA (GBAR_LNC020349)
Source: RNAcentral
AGAAGGAACGACAUAGGAAGCGGCGAAGGAGGGAACGCGAUGACGAAGAUGACUGUAACAAUGAUUAUAAGGAGAGGGAGAGUAAAUCGAAUAGGGGAGAGAGUCCUGUUAGGAAAAAGAGUGGUGAAGAUGAGUUGGAGAAGAAAGGGAAGAAAAGUAGGGAAGAGGAAAUGGAAGAUGAGCAGCGUAAAUUGGAUGAGGAGAUGGAGAAAAGGAGGAGGAGGGUUCAAGAAUGGCAGGAGUUGAGGAGGAAGAAGGAAGAAAUGGAGAGGGAGAAACGUGGGGAAGGGA